GAUGAACGCUGGCGGCGUGCCUAACACAUGCAAGUCGAACGAGAUGCGUAUUGGAAAGCUUCGGCCGGAAGAUGCGUUAUCUAGUGGCGGACGGGUGAGUAACACGUGGGUAACCUGCCUUAUGGAGGGGGAUAACAGAGAGAACUCACUGCUAAUACCGCAUAAGCACACAUUGCCGCAUGGCAGAGGGUGAAAAGAUUUAUCGCCAUAAGAUGGACCCGCGUCUGAUUAGCCAGUUGGCAGGGUAAAAGCCUACCAAAGCAACGAUCAGUAGCCGAUCUGAGAGGAUGACCGGCCACAUUGGGACUGAGACACGGCCCAAACUCCUACGGGAGGCAGCAGUGGGGAAUAUUGCACAAUGGGGGAAACCCUGAUGCAGCGACGCCGCGUGAGUGAAGAAGUAUUUCGGUAUGUAAAGCUCUAUCAGCAGGGAAGAUAAUGACAGUACCUGACUAAGAAGCCCCGGCUAACUACGUG
This 477-nucleotide ribosomal RNA is filed under the name uncultured bacterium. RNAcentral describes it as "partial 16S ribosomal RNA". It matches the Rfam family "Bacterial small subunit ribosomal RNA", at positions 28 to 507 of the family's 1533-position model. The record is from RNAcentral.